AGUUUGAUCAUGGCUCAGGAUGAACGCUGGCGGCGUGCUUAACACAUGCAAGUCGAACGGAAAGGCCCAAGCUUGCUUGGGUACUCGAGUGGCGAACGGGUGAGUAACACGUGGGUGAUCUGCCCUGCACUUCGGGAUAAGCCUGGGAAACUGGGUCUAAUACCGGAUAGGACGAUGGUUUGGAUGCCAUUGUGGAAAGUUUUUUCGGUGUGGGAUGAGCUCGCGGCCUACCAGCUUGUUGGUGGGGUAAUGGCCUACCAAGGCGUCGACGGGUAGCCGGCCUGAGAGGGUGUACGGCCACAUUGGGACUGAGAUACGGCCCAGACUCCUACGGGAGGCAGCAGUGGGGAAUAUUGCACAAUGGGCGCAAGCCUGAUGCAGCGACGCCGCGUGGGGGAUGACGGCCUUCGGGUUGUAAACUCCUUUCGCUAGGGACGAAGCGUUUUGUGACGGUACCUGGAGAAGAAGCACCGGCUAACUACGUGCCAGCAGCCGCGGUAAUACGUAGGGUGCGAGCGUUGUCCGGAAUUACUGGGCGUAAAGAGCUCGUAGGUGGUUUGUCGCGUCGUUUGUGUAAGCCCGCAGCUUAACUGCGGGACUGCAGGCGAUACGGGCAUAACUUGAGUGCUGUAGGGGAGACUGGAAUUCCUGGUGUAGCGGUGGAAUGCGCAGAUACCAGGAGGAACACCGAUGGCGAANGCAGGUCUCUGGGCAGUAACUGACGCUGAGGAGCGAAAGCAUGGGGAGCGAACAGGAUUAGAUACCCUGGUAGUCCAUGCCGUAAACGGUGGGCGCUAGGUGUGAGUCCCUUCCACGGGGUUCGUGCCGUAGCUAACGCAUUAAGCGCCCCGCCUGGGGAGUA
This 862-nucleotide ribosomal RNA is filed under the name uncultured bacterium. Its description in RNAcentral is "bacterial SSU rRNA". It matches the Rfam family "Bacterial small subunit ribosomal RNA", at positions 10 to 882 of the family's 1533-position model. The record is from RNAcentral.